ACGCUCGACACCUACGGAGGCAGCAGUGAGGAAUAUUGGUCAAUGGGCGCAGGCCUGAACCAGCCAAGUAGCGUGAAGGAUGACUGCCCUAUGGGUUGUAAACUUCUUUUAUAUGGGAAUAAAGUUUUCCACGUGUGGAAUUUUGUAUGUACCAUAUGAAUAAGGAUCGGCUAACUCCGUGCCCGCAGCCGCGGUAAUCUGAGCGGGCUGGCAAGGC
This 217-nucleotide ribosomal RNA is filed under the name uncultured bacterium. RNAcentral's name for it is "partial 16S ribosomal RNA". It matches the Rfam family "Bacterial small subunit ribosomal RNA", at positions 328 to 539 of the family's 1533-position model. The record is from RNAcentral.